CCCAUUCUCUCUCUCAAUUUUCCACUUCCAACAUUCUUCGUGUAAAAUCGAGCCCUAAUUCCACCCCCUUCCAAAAUCGAGUCCUAGCUCUUCUCCUGCCGUCGAAAACCCGCCGCCGCUGCAACUGAAAGACCGGUGAGCGGCCGCUGCCUUCCUCCGCGACGCCGCUGCUUCUGUAAUCCGACGAGAGUCGAUCUCUCCUUCUCUCUGAAUGCACGUGCGCGAGGUCAAAGGGCGGCCCCCAAAAUUCUCUAAGUCUCGAAUCGCCUUCGCCGUGGACUCUGUAAAUCCGGCGACUGCUAGUCAUCGUUCUUCCUCCCAAAUCGGCGACGCCGGUGUAGAGCCUGAGCCCGGCGCCAUUCCUCAUCUCUUCUCCCAUCUGGAAGCUCCGGGAACACGCACACACACACCCGAGGCAGAGGUCGAGCUCUGGUCCUCUCAGCGCACUCUCAAUCUCGCCGUUGCUGCUGCAUUCCUCCCGGCGGCAGGUGAAGGCCCGUCGCCUCCGUCGUCCUCCGAGCUCCGUCGCACCGUCCUUCUUGGUUUCAGAGCAGAGCAGGGCAGUGGCCCCUUUCCUCUUCUAAAGCUAAGUUUUUGUUCUAUCCCCUGUUAUUGUAUUUCGAUUCAUGUCGCUACAUGAUGGGAGUUCUCAUGGCUUUGGUUCUAUGUACAGUGGUAAUAUCUCAAUGUAUGAAUCAUACUAUUUCUGUUGAAGGCCAUAAAUUAUGUACGCAUAUGUGAUUUGCUGCCCCUCUGUAAUAUACUUCAACCUAUAUUUCUGAACUUCUAAUACAUGAUGCGUGGGGUGAAAUGUAUAUGAAGAUAGUGAACUGAGAUAGCAUAAAAUACCUUGAGGUAUAGGUGUUGGUUGGCUGCUGUGGGUGGAUUGUGUUGGUUGGGUGCUGUGGGUGGAUUAAAUGGGAGGAUUCUGAAAUAAAUGAUAUAAAUCAUACUUGUUUCUUUUAAUAAAUGCAGGUUGCAAAUGGAAGAAGAUGAGGGAUAAAUGCCAAGGUGAAUAAUGGAGGAAUGUGGAUGAAUGAAAGCCAAAUCUCACCUUGGAGUUUCUGGCAGCAGCUUAGACUAAUUACUUCCCUUGGUUUGCUGGUGAUUAAGGGAGUGUUUUGGCUGAACUUGUAGGCUAGGAAGGCAAAGGGGCGAUGGAGUGCACUUGAGUGUGCUAAGGAGAUGGUAGUAGGGUGUAGGGGAGGGGAUUGGGAGCUGCUGCCAGCAGCUGCUCUAUUGCAUCUGCACACACGUCUCCUUUUUCCCUUCCCAAUACUUUUGCUUGACUAGCUAGGUAAUAGAAGUAGGAAUUGUAAUAGGUAGGUUGUAAUGAAAUAGGGAUGUACUGAACAGGAAGUUGUAACGUUUGGAAAGAUUGUGGUGUGACUAAAUAAAAUCCCUCUAUCUUGGUAAUUC
Long non-coding RNA from Salvia miltiorrhiza (redroot sage), 1419 nucleotides. RefSeq lists it as uncharacterized. NCBI's taxonomy places the organism in Eukaryota, Viridiplantae, Streptophyta, Magnoliopsida, Lamiales, Lamiaceae. The record is from RefSeq and is a predicted model, not a curated record. The transcript has 2 exons.